CACGGGCUAAUAUCCUGUGUGGAUGACGGUACCGGAAUAAGAAGCACCGGCUAACUACGUGCCAGCAGCCGCGGUAAUACGUAGGGUGCGAGCGUUAAUCGGAAUUACUGGGCGUAAAGCGUGCGCAGGCGGUUUUGAUAAGACAGGCGUGAAAUCCCCGGGCUUAACCUGGGAACUGCGCUUGUGACUGUCUCACUAGAGUACGGCAGAGGGGGGUGGAAUUCCACGUGUAGCAGUGAAAUGCGUAGAGAUGUGGAGGAACACCGAUGGCGAAGGCAGCCCCCUCGGGCCGAUACUGACGCUCAUGCACGAAAGCGUGGGGAGCAAACAGGAUUAGAUACCCUGGUAGUCCACGCCCUAAACGAUGUCAACUAGGUGUUGGGUGGGUAAAACCAUUUAGUACCGGAGCUAACGCGUGAAGUUGACCGCCUGGGGGAGUACGGCCGCAAGGUUAAAACUCAAAGGAAUUGACGGGG
This 476-nucleotide ribosomal RNA is filed under the name uncultured bacterium. RNAcentral's name for it is "bacterial SSU rRNA". It matches the Rfam family "Bacterial small subunit ribosomal RNA", at positions 453 to 918 of the family's 1533-position model. The record is from RNAcentral.